RNAcentral lists this ribosomal RNA (818 nucleotides) under uncultured bacterium. Its description in RNAcentral is "bacterial SSU rRNA". It matches the Rfam family "Bacterial small subunit ribosomal RNA", at positions 8 to 815 of the family's 1533-position model. The record is from RNAcentral.
AGAGUUUGAUCCUGGCUCAGGAUGAACGCUAGCGGCAGGCUUAACACAUGCAAGUCGAGGGGCAGCGGGGCGGAAGCUUGCUUCCGCCGCCGGCGACCGGCGCACGGGUGAGUAACACGUAUGCAACCUGCCCCCGUCAGGGGGACAACCCGGCGAAAGCCGGGCUAAUCCCCCGUACAUCCCCGGAGGGCAUCCUCCGGGGAGGAAAGGCUUCGGCCGGAUGGGGAUGGGCAUGCGGCGCAUUAGCUAGUUGGCGGGGUAACGGCCCACCAAGGCGACGAUGCGUAGGGGUUCUGAGAGGAAGGUCCCCCACACUGGUACUGAGACACGGACCAGACUCCUACGGGAGGCAGCAGUGAGGAAUAUUGGUCAAUGGUCGGGAGACUGAACCAGCCAAGCCGCGUGAGGGAUGAAGGUACUAAGUAUUGUAAACCUCUUUUGUCAGGGAACAAAGGCAUCCACGAGUGGGUGUGUGAGUGUACCUGAAGAAAAAGCAUCGGCUAACUCCGUGCCAGCAGCCGCGGUAAUACGGAGGAUGCGAGCGUUAUCCGGAUUUAUUGGGUUUAAAGGGUGCGUAGGCGGCCUGUUAAGUCAGCGGUAAAAGCCCGGGGCUCAACCCCGGCGAGCCGUUGAAACUGGCUGGCUGGAGUUGGCGAGAGGUAUGCGGAAUGCGCGGUGUAGCGGUGAAAUGCUUAGAUAUCGCGCAGAACUCCGAUUGCGAAGGCAGCAUGCCGGCGCCACACUGACGCUGAGGCACGAAAGCGUGGGGAUCAAACAGGAUUAGAUACCCUGGUAGUCCACGCAGUAAACGAUGAAUG